AUGUGGCCACAGCCCAUAUUCACAUUUAUUAUUCUUUCCUGUGGUUUAUCAUGUUUUUUUUUUUUUAUGACAUUCCUUUCUGCAGCUCUAACAUCAGUGACUGCCUCCUCAUCUGCAACCCCACUGGGGCCCACUGAGCCUGGAAGCACCACAGCUCCUGUGUCAACUGCAUUCACCCCAGAACCAGCUCUGGUUCCUUCACUGAUGUCCAUCACCACAGCCAGUGGCCAUAGCCUGGAGGCUUUCACACUGAACUUCACCAUCACCAACCUGCUGUACACAGCAGAUAUGGGAAACACUGGUUCCAGUAAAUUCAACACAACAGAGAAAAUCCUGCAGCACCUGGUAAGAUGCAACCUACUACAUAUACAUUUCUCCUUUAUUCCCUACUUGCAAGGUUUCUUUCUGCAUAUCUUAGACUCAAGGCCCUGCUUGUUUCAUAAUAUGUAA
RNAcentral lists this long non-coding RNA (450 nucleotides) under Monodelphis domestica (gray short-tailed opossum). RNAcentral's name for it is "lncRNA (ENSMODG00000048561.1)". Lineage: Eukaryota; Metazoa; Chordata; Mammalia; Didelphimorphia; Didelphidae. The record is from RNAcentral.